Molecule: ribosomal RNA, 416 nt
Filed under: uncultured bacterium
Lineage: Bacteria
Description: bacterial SSU rRNA
Rfam family: Bacterial small subunit ribosomal RNA
Source: RNAcentral
GACGAACGCUGGCGGCGCGCCUAACACAUGCAAGUCGAACGAGCGAGAGAGAGCUUGCUUUCUCGAGCGAGUGGCGAACGGGUGAGUAACGCGUGAGGAACCUGCCUCAAAGAGGGGGACAACAGUUGGAAACGACUGCUAAUACCGCAUAAGCCCACAGGUCGGCAUCGACCAGAGGGAAAAGGAGCAAUCCGCUUUGAGAUGGCCUCGCGUCCGAUUAGCUAGUUGGUGAGGUAAUGGCCCACCAAGGCGACGAUCGGUAGCCGGACUGAGAGGUUGAACGGCCACAUUGGGACUGAGACACGGCCCAGACUCCUACGGGAGGCAGCAGUGGGGAAUAUUGCACAAUGGGGGAAACCCUGAUGCAGCGACGCCGCGUGGAGGAAGAAGGUCUUCGGAUUGUGAACUCCUGUUGU